Molecule: long non-coding RNA, 2661 nt
Filed under: Sus scrofa (pig)
Lineage: Eukaryota; Metazoa; Chordata; Mammalia; Artiodactyla; Suidae
Description: lncRNA (ENSSSCG00060053410.1)
Source: RNAcentral
UCACAGAACACCUACUGAACCUAGUGGAAGACCUCAAACGAGGACAAGAAAGAUCUCCAUGGGUAGGGAGAAAGGAAAAAAAAAAAAAAAAAGAGGAAGCGGGACGGGGCCCGCCCACCUGGGAGGGAGCUGAAGGAGAGGAGAGUUUCCUACACCCUGGAAAGCCCCAUCAUCAGUGGGGAGAUCAGCCGAGACAGAAGAGGAGCUUCAGAGGCUCAGAGGAGAGAACAACAACUGGUUUGUGGCAGGCAGGAAACUCUCUACAUAGACAUUCCAUGCGACCACCUUGCAUACUCCAGCCUGAGACUCCUCUCUGCUAAUAUGGGUGGGGGUUGGGUGCUGGAACUUGGGGUUUGGUGGACAGGUCCUGGGAAAGAACUGGUGUUGACUGCGUGGUGACAGCCUAAAGGGACUGGAGCAUGGUACAGCUGUAAUUGAGAGUGUUCCAGAAUGAAUAAUGCAGAAGAACAAAUGAGUGAUCUGGAAGAUAGAAUAAUGGAAAUCACUCAGUUAGAACAGCAGACAGAAACCUAAACAAACAAAAAAAAUGACAUCUAUAUGAGACCUGUGGGCUAAUAGAAAGCAUGCCAGUCUAUGCAUAAUAGGGAUCUCAGGAAAAGAAAAAGAAGAGGGGAUUGGAAAUCUAUUUGAAUAAAUUAUGGCUGAAAACUUCCCAAAUCUAAAGAAGGAAAUAGAUAUCUAGAUACAGGAAGCACAGAGGGUCCCAAACAAUAUAAACUCAAACAGACCUACACCAAUACAUAUAAUAAAAAUGGCAAAAGUUAAAGAUAAAGAGAGGAUUCUAAAGGUGGUAAGAGGAAAGCACAGAGUUAAUGACAAGGGCGCCCCCAUAAGGCUAUCUGCUGAUUUUGCUGCAGAAGCAUUGCAGGCCAGAAGGGAGUGGCAAGAUUCAAAGUCCUUUCAGAGAAAACUGUAACCUAGGAUACCCAGCAAAAUUAUCAUUUAGAAGAGAAGAAGAGACAAAGAAUUUUUCAGACAAGGAAAAACUGAAAGAAUACAGAAAUACCAAACCUUUCCUAAAGGAAACAUUGAAAGGGAGUCUCCAAAUAGAAAAGAAGAAUUUAUAGGAAAACCACAAUUAGAAAGGAAAUCACUCAAAUAAGCCAGUACACAGAUUUCUAAAAAUUAAAACAUUUCUGUGAAAGUGAUGAUAACCUCAGUGAACAGCAAAAGGGUGAGCAUGAAGACGCAAAAGAGGACAUCAAAGUCAUAAAAUGCAGGGGAGGAGAGUACGAAAAUGUAGGGUUUUUUCCUAGAAUGCGAUUGAGCCUACAUGACUACCAGUCCAAAGCAAGUAGAAAUAGGAAGGAUAGCUAAUAAGAUGUAGCAUACUUGAAAACAGGGCAAUACAAAUCAAAAAUAUAUGCAGUAGUUUCACAAAAUCCAAAACAGAUAGAACAUAAGUGCAAAACAAAAGAAAAUCAUCAAACCAUAAAAGGCAAAACAUAAAGAAAGGGACAAAGAAGAAAUAUAGAAUUAAUGGAAAAACAAGGGUUAAGGUGGCAAUGAAUACACACUUAUCAAUAAUUCCCUUAAAUAUCAGUGGACUAAAUACUCCAGUCAAAAGACAGUGACAGUUUGGAUAGAAAAAAAAUGUGAGAUGAGUCUACAAUAUGCUCUACAAGAGACCUAUUUUAGGGCAGAGAACACACGUAGAUUGAAAGUGAGGGGACAGAAAAAGAGUUCAUGUAAACAGAAAUAACAAGAAAGUGAAGUUUGCAUACUCAAAUCAGACAAAAUUGACUUUAAAACAAAGGCUAUAAAGAAAGAUAAAAAGGAUAUUAUAUAGUGACAAAAGGAUCAAUAGAGAGAAUAUUACACUCUUCAACAUAUGUGCAUCCAAUAUAGGAGCUCCCAAAUACAUAAAACAAACACUAAGAGAUAUAAAGGGAGACAUUGAUAAGAAUACAAUAAUAGUAGGAAGCUUUAACACUCCACUCACAUCAAUGGGCAAAUCUUUUGAGACAAAAAGUUAAAAAGGCAACAGAGAUCCUAAGUGAUGCAAUAGAACAGUUAGACUUAAGUGAUAUCUUCAGGACAUUACAUCCAAAAAAUGCAUAAUACACAUUCUUUUUAAGUGCACAUGGAACAUUUUCUAGGAUUGGCCACAUACUGGGGCACAAAAUAAGCUUCAACAAAUUUAAGAGUGUAUAGGAAUUAUUUCCAACAUCUUUUCUGACCACAGUGGCAUGAAACUAGAAAUCAACCACAGAAAAAGAAAUGAGAGUAAAAAACAACUACAUGGAGAUUGAAAAACAUGCUACUAAAAAUUAGUGGGUCAACAAUGAAAUCAAAGAGGAAAUUGGAAAAUAUCCUGAGGCAAAUUAUAAUGAAAACACAACCAUACAAAAUGCGUGGGAUGCAGCAAAAGCAGUUCUUAGAGGGACGUUCAUAGUGAUAUAGGCAUUUUUUAAGAAACAGGAAAGUGAGUUCCCAUUGUGGCAUUGUAGGUUCAGAACCUGACAUAGUGUCUCUGAAAAUAUGAGUUUGAUCCCUGGCUUCACUCAGAGGGUUAAAGAUCCAGCAUUGCUUCAGGCUGUAGUGUAGGUCACAGGUGUCACCAUUGUUGCUGUGGCUGUGGUGUAGGCUGUCAGCUGCUGCUCCAAUUCAACCCCUAUUCUGGGAACUUCCUAUGCUGCA